GAUGAACGCUGGCGGCGUGCCUAAUACAUGCAAGUCGAGCGAACGGACGAGAAGCUUGCUUCUCUGAUGUUAGCGGCGGACGGGUGAGUAACACGUGGAUAACCUACCUAUAAGACUGGGAUAACUUCGGGAAACCGGAGCUAAUACCGGAUAAUAUUUUGAACCGCAUGGUUCAAAAGUGAAAGACGGUCUUGCUGUCACUUAUAGAUGGAUCCGCGCUGCAUUAGCUAGUUGGUAAGGUAACGGCUUACCAAGGCAACGAUGCAUAGCCGACCUGAGAGGGUGAUCGGCCACACUGGAACGGAGACACGGUCCAGACUCCUACGGGAGGCAGCAGUAGGGAAUCUUCCGCAAUGGGCGAAAGCCUGACGGAGCAACGCGGCGUGAGUGAUGAAGGUCUUCGGAUCGUAAAACUCUGUUAUUAGGGAAGAACAUAUGUGUAAGUAACUGUGCACAUCUUGACGGUACCUAAUCAGAAAGCCACGGCUAACUACGUG
RNAcentral lists this ribosomal RNA (497 nucleotides) under uncultured bacterium. RNAcentral's name for it is "partial 16S ribosomal RNA". It matches the Rfam family "Bacterial small subunit ribosomal RNA", at positions 28 to 507 of the family's 1533-position model. The record is from RNAcentral.